This 68-nucleotide transfer RNA is filed under the name Bathygobius soporator (frillfin goby). RNAcentral's name for it is "tRNA-Ser". RNAcentral also lists the same sequence under 2 other names. The record is from RNAcentral. Lineage: Eukaryota; Metazoa; Chordata; Actinopteri; Gobiiformes; Gobiidae.
GAGAGAGACUUGCCAGUGACGAGGGCUGCUACCCAUCGUUUCCUCGGUUGAAUUCCGAUGCUCACUCG